This 160-nucleotide non-coding RNA is filed under the name Stegodyphus mimosarum. RNAcentral describes it as "Eukaryotic large subunit ribosomal RNA". It matches the Rfam family "Eukaryotic large subunit ribosomal RNA", at positions 2825 to 2984 of the family's 3401-position model. Lineage: Eukaryota; Metazoa; Arthropoda; Arachnida; Araneae; Eresidae. The record is from Rfam by way of RNAcentral.
GAUAAAUGACUUGCAGUGGGCAAGUGUUCAUAGCAACGUUGCUUUUUCAUUCUUCAAUAUCAGUUUUUUCUAUCAUUGUGAUAUAAAAUUUGUCAAGCUUUGUAUUGUUCACCCACUAAUAUGGAAUGUGAGCUGGGUUUAGACCGUUGUGAGACAGGUU